CUCAAAGAUUAAGCCAUGCAUGUCUAAGUAUAAGCAAGUAUACUGCGAAACUGCGAAUGGCUCAUUAAAUCAGUUAUCGUUUAUUUGAUAGUACCUUUCUACUUGGAUAACCGUGGUAAUUCUAGAGCUAAUACAUGCGAAAAACCCCGACUCCGGGAGGGGUGUAUUUAUUAGAUAAAAAACCAACGCCCUUCGGGGCUCCGUGGUGAUUCAUGGUAACUCAGCGAAUCGCAUGGCCUUGCGCCGGCGAUGGUUCAUUCAAAUUUCUGCCCUAUCAACUUUCGAUGUUUAGGUAGUGUCUAAACAUGGUUUCAACGGGUAACGAAGAAUUAGGGUUCGAUCUCGGAGAGUUAGCCUGAGAAACGGCUAACACAUCCAAGGAAGGCAGCAGGCGCGCAAAUUACCCAAUCCCGAUGCGGGGAGGUAGUGACAAUAAAUAGUGAUGCAGGGCUCUUAUGGGUCUUGCAAUUGCAAUGAGUACAAUUUAAAUCCCUUAACGAGGAACAAUUGGAGGGCAAGUCUGGUGCCAGCAGCCGCGGUAAUUCCAGCUCCAAUAGCGUAUAUUAAAUUUGUUGCAUUUAAAAAGCUCGUAGUUGAACCUUGGGCCUGGCUGGCCGGUCCGCCUCACCGCGUGCACUGGUCCGGCCGGGCCUUUCCUUCUGGCAGAACCCCAUGGCCUUCGUUGGCCGUGGCGGGGAACCAGGACUUUUACUUUGAAAAAAUUAGAGUGUUCAAAGCAGGCCUUCGCUCGAAUACAUUAGCAUGGAAUAAUGGAAUAGGACGGCUCUCCUAUUUUGUUGGUUUCUAGGUGAGCCGUAAUGAUUAAUAGGGACGGUCGGGGGCGUCAGUAUUCAAUUGUCAGAGGUGAAAUUCUUGGAUUUAUUGAAGACUAACUACUGCGAAAGCAUUCGCCAAGGACGUUUUCAUUAAUCAGUGAACGAAAGUUAGGGGAUCGAAGACGAUCAGAUACCGUCGUAGUCUUAACCAUAAACUAUGCCGCCUAGGGAUCGGUGGAUGUUGCUUUUUUGACUCCAUCGGCACCUUACGAGAAAUCAAAGUCAGGUUAUGG
This 1069-nucleotide ribosomal RNA is filed under the name uncultured soil eukaryote. RNAcentral describes it as "SSU rRNA". It matches the Rfam family "Eukaryotic small subunit ribosomal RNA", at positions 36 to 1117 of the family's 1831-position model. The record is from RNAcentral.